Molecule: long non-coding RNA, 1004 nt
Organism: Quercus lobata
Lineage: Eukaryota; Viridiplantae; Streptophyta; Magnoliopsida; Fagales; Fagaceae
Exons: 3
Source: RefSeq, a predicted model, not a curated record
AAUGGAAGAAGAAUACUACAAGGAUGAGGAUGGAGAGUAAAAGCCCUGUAAUUUGUAUGCCAGUGUUCAGCAUAUCAAGUUGCACUAGUAAUGGGAUCUUGUUGAGGGCGCCAUAGGUAACCUUCUUUAACAAGUCACCCAAUGUCGUGUUCAUGCCCACUGAUGUAACUAGCAUGCGACCUUUUCCAUCAAUUACCUUUGGACCAUGGAACAGAAAUGGGUUUUCGUUGUUAAUGGUGGAGUCAAGAUCAUCAUCCAGUUUUAUGUAUUCACCAACUACGAGCAAACCAUCAGCAGGGACUAGAGAUCCCCUCUCGAGGCAUACUAUGUCACCCAACCAAACAUCUGAGAUGGAUACUUUCUGUAACAUCCCGUUAGUUAAAAAAAAAAAAAAGUAAGUCAAUAUUUUGUGGACCACAGGUGCCCCCACCUAACCCCACUACCCAUCAUUCUCAUUCACUCAAUUUCAUCCACAUCUCUUCUCUCUUUUGGCCGGCCCUCUCUUUUCUUUCUUUCAUUUUCUCUCUUUUCAUUUUACUGAAACACACACACUCACCCGCCAGCCUCCACUCCAAAACACACCAUCUCACCAUCAUUUUUCCGGCAAGAUCACCGGAAAAAUACUUAGAAACUCCAAAGCAUCUUCAUCAUUUUAUUUGAGGUUCUAGCUAAUCUCCCCUUGGAGCUUGGAGAAUUAGGAUUUUGCGGUUGCGAGGGGGAAGAGGUUCCUUAAUUGUGUGUGGGUGAGGCUGCUGUCCAUGGGGCCAAGAGAUCACAUGCAAGAGAGGUCCUAUUUGACGUGCUCUCUCUGUUGUCCAUGGGGGGAGAGAAAAACCUUGAGGGUAUGGGUGAGGCUGCUGUCUAUGGGGCCAAGAGUCUGCAUACCAAAGAAGACAAUAUCAUGCCAGUUGUAAAUGGGUGGAUUCCCUGACUAGUUUAUGUGGUAGUGUGGUAGAUUUGUGAUAAUUUAUUAUAUGUUAGAUAUUACGGUUUUAGAAAUUAUA